This 379-nucleotide RNase P RNA is filed under the name Sphingomonas sp. AP4-R1. RNAcentral describes it as "Bacterial RNase P class A". It matches the Rfam family "Bacterial RNase P class A". From Rfam's summary of the family: Ribonuclease P (RNase P) is a ubiquitous endoribonuclease, found in archaea, bacteria and eukarya as well as chloroplasts and mitochondria. Its best characterised activity is the generation of mature 5'-ends of tRNAs by cleaving the 5'-leader elements of precursor-tRNAs. Cellular RNase Ps are ribonucleoproteins. The record is from Rfam by way of RNAcentral. Lineage: Bacteria; Pseudomonadati; Pseudomonadota; Alphaproteobacteria; Sphingomonadales; Sphingomonadaceae.
CCAGAGGGUCGGGCGGCCGCCGCUUGUCGUAAGACGAGGGGAGGAAAGUCCGGGCUCCGCAGAGUGACGGUGCCGGGUAACGCCCGGCGGGGGUGACCCCAGGGAAAGUGCCACAGAAAGGAUACCGCCCGGCGGUUCCGGUUCGCCGGAAUCCGGGUAAGGGAGAAAGGGUGCGGCAAGAGCGCACCGCGCGCCUGGCAACAGGGGCGGCACGGCAAACCCCACCGGGAGCAAGACCGAAUAGGGACGGCACAUGGAUCGGCUCGAUCCGGUCGUCCGGGUUGGUUGCUGGAGGCGGCGCGCAAGCGUCGUCCUAGAGGAAUGGUCGCACAGUCCCGCAAGGGAUGGACAAAACCCGGCUUAUAGACCCUCUGGCAUU